Molecule: ribosomal RNA, 497 nt
Filed under: uncultured bacterium
Lineage: Bacteria
Description: partial 16S ribosomal RNA
Rfam family: Bacterial small subunit ribosomal RNA
Source: RNAcentral
GAUGAACGCUGGCGGCGUGCCUAAUACAUGCAAGUCGAGCGAACGGACGAGAAGCUUGCUUUUCUGAUGUUAGCGGCGGACGGGUGAGUAACACGUGGAUAACCUACCUCUAAGACUGGGAUAACUUCGGGAAACCGGAGCUAAUACCGGAUAAUAUUUUGAACCGCAUGGUUCAAAAGUGAAAGACGCUCUUGCUGUCACUUAUAGAUGGAUCCGCGCUGCAUUAGCUAGUUGAUAAGGUAACGGCUUACCCAGGCAACGAUGCAUAGCCAACCUGUGAGGGUGAUCGCACACACUGGAACGGAGACACGGUACAGACUCCUACGGGAGGCAGCAGUAGGGAAUCUUCCGCAAUGGGCGAAAGCCUGACGGAGCAACGCCGAGUCAGUGAUGAAGGUCUUCGGAUCGUAAAACUCUGUUAUUAGGGAAGAACAUAUGUGUAAGUAACUGUGCACAUCUUGACGGUACCUAAUCAGAAAGCCACGGCUAACUACGUG